AGACGUGAUGGGCGAUCUGGCUGCAACGUCAGUCACCCCAUUGACCACCAGCAUGACUCAGCUGACCCGGCUGACCAGGUAGGUGACCCCUUUGUCCCUCACAGCUCCAUGUGCAUCCCUCCAGAAGCUGCAUGCUCGCUCCGUCCAGUCUUUGGUCAAGAGUAUAUGAGUAGCUGGGCUCCCCUGCUAGACCCUCCACAACUGCUCACAAGGUCCCUUUGUUGUCAGGUUUCAAAUGAGAUAAUGUGAGUCUCCCACUACUGUUCUUUCUUAAGAUAAUUUUAAAUUAUUGUAUUA
This 297-nucleotide small nuclear RNA is filed under the name Peromyscus maniculatus bairdii (prairie deer mouse). RNAcentral's name for it is "7SK RNA (ENSPEMG00000004159.2)". It matches the Rfam family "7SK RNA". Rfam says of the family: 7SK was discovered as an abundant small nuclear RNA in the mid-70s but a possible function has only recently been suggested. Two independent studies have found that 7SK RNA binds the CDK9/cyclin T complex (known as elongation factor P-TEFb). Lineage: Eukaryota; Metazoa; Chordata; Mammalia; Rodentia; Cricetidae. The record is from RNAcentral.